RNAcentral lists this ribosomal RNA (460 nucleotides) under uncultured bacterium. RNAcentral's name for it is "partial 16S ribosomal RNA". It matches the Rfam family "Bacterial small subunit ribosomal RNA", at positions 338 to 795 of the family's 1533-position model. The record is from RNAcentral.
CCUACGGGAGGCAGCAGUGAGGAAUAUUGCUCAAUGGCCGAAACCCUGAUCCAGCCACGUAGCGUGAAUGAUGACUUCCUUAUGUGUUGAAAACUUCUUCUAUAUGGCAAUAAAUUAUGCUACGUGAGGAAGUCUGUAUGUACCAUAUGAAUACGGCACGGCCAACUCUGGGCAAGCAGCCGCGGUAAUACGGAGGUUCCGAGCGUUAUAGGUAUUUAUUGGGUUUAAAGGGACCGUAGUUGGAUUGUCAAGUCAGUCGUGAAAGGUGGGGCCUCAACCGUAAGAUUGCAGGUGAUACUGGAAGGCUGGAGUGCAGUAGAGGUGAGCGGAAUUCGUGGUGUAGCGGUGAAAUGCGUAGAUAUCAGGAAGAACACCAGUUGCGAAGGCAGCUCACUGGACUGCAACUGACACUGAGGCUCGAAAGUGUGGGUAGCAAACAGGAUUAGAUACCCUUGUAGUC